This 524-nucleotide ribosomal RNA is filed under the name uncultured bacterium. Its description in RNAcentral is "partial 16S ribosomal RNA". It matches the Rfam family "Bacterial small subunit ribosomal RNA", at positions 28 to 523 of the family's 1533-position model. The record is from RNAcentral.
GACGAACGCUGGCGGCGUGCCUAAUACAUGCAAGUCGAACGAAGCUUUUUUAACUGGUGCUUGCACCGACUUAAACAACUGAGUGGCGAACGGGUGAGUAACACGUGGGUAACCUGCCCCAAAGCGGGGGAUAACAUUUGAAAACAGAUGCUAAUACCGCAUAACCACAGAAAUCACAUGGUUUCUGAGUCAAAGAUGGGUUCGGCUAUCACUUUGGGAUGGACUCGCGGCGUAUUAGCUAGUUGGUAAGGUAAUGGCGUACCAAGUCAAUGAUCCGUAGCCGAACUGAGAGGUUGAGCGGCCACAUUGGGACUGAGACACGGCCCAUACUCCUACGGGAGGCAGCAGUAUGGAAUCUUCCACAAUGGGCGAAAGCCUGAUGGAGCAACACCGCGUGAGUGAAGAAGGGUUUCGGCUCGUAAAACUCUGUUGUUAAAGAAGAACGUAUCUAAGAGUAACUGCUUAGGUAGUGACGGUAUUUAACCAGUAAGCCACGGCUAACUACGUGCCAGCCGCCGCGGUAA